ACCUACGGGAGGCAGCAGUGAGGAAUAUUGGUCGAUGGUCGGGAGACUGAACCAGCCAAGCCGCGUGAGGGAGGAAGGUACAGAGUAUCGUAAACCUCUUUUGUCAGGGAACAAAGGCGGGGACGUGUCCCCGGAUGAGUGUACCUGAAGAAAAAGCAUCGGCUAACUCCGUGCCAGCAGCCGCGGUAAUACGGAGGAUGCGAGCGUUAUCCGGAUUUAUUGGGUUUAAAGGGUGCGCAGGCGGUCUGUUAAGUCAGCGGUCAAAGCCCGGGGCUCAACCCCGGCCCGCCGUUGAAACUGGCAGG
This 305-nucleotide ribosomal RNA is filed under the name uncultured bacterium. Its description in RNAcentral is "bacterial SSU rRNA". It matches the Rfam family "Bacterial small subunit ribosomal RNA", at positions 337 to 640 of the family's 1533-position model. The record is from RNAcentral.